UGAAAAGAUUUAUCACCAUAAGAUGGACCCGCGUCUGAUUAGCCAGUUGGCAGGGUAAAAGCCUACCAAAGCAACGAUCAGUAGCCGAUCUGAGAGGAUGACCGGCCACAUUGGGACUGAGACACGGCCCAAACUCCUACGGGAGGCAGCAGUGGGGAAUAUUGCACAAUGGGGGAAACCCUGAUGCAGCGACGCCGCGUGAGUGAAGAAGUAUUUCGGUAUGUAAAGCUCUAUCAGCAGGGAAGAUAAUGACAGUACCUGACUAAGAAGCCCCGGCUAACUACGUGCCAGCAGCCGCGGUAAUACGUAGGGGGCAAGCGUUAUCCGGAUUUACUGGGUGUAAAGGGAGCGUAGACGGAGUGGCAAGUCUGAAGUGAAAACCCUGGGCUUAACCUGGGGACUGCUUUGGAAACUGUUAAUCUAGAGUGUUGGAGGGGUAAGUGGA
Molecule: ribosomal RNA, 445 nt
Filed under: uncultured Lachnospiraceae bacterium
Lineage: Bacteria; Bacillati; Bacillota; Clostridia; Lachnospirales; Lachnospiraceae
Description: bacterial SSU rRNA
Rfam family: Bacterial small subunit ribosomal RNA
Source: RNAcentral